AUUAAGUAUGGCGUUAAUCCUAUCAGCAUCAGUUAAUAUCGUCUGCUGGAAUGACGAAUCGUAGUUCGGUUAUUUGGUUAAACAGUGUCUCUAAUUGUUGGAAAAACGUUUCUUUAUUCGAUGAUUACUCUAACGAAUUGAUGGAAUCGCGAUAAAUGACAAAAACGUCUGUUUUAAUGACGGAAUGAUUAUAUCAAUGUUUGUAAUAAUGAAAACACUUCAAAUACACGGACUUGAUUGCGUGCGUCAUUGACAGGUGGUACAGGAAUGUGGGGAAGUAGAUAGAACUACUGUUGUGAACGAUCGGUUAAGUAAAAGAAUCUGCUGAUCAACUAGCAGAUUCAGUUGUGAUGAGCGACUCCGAACAGCGGCAAUUACAUGUGCCUUAUAGAGAAUAUCAUAGCCAGAAUAACACUAACACUUCUGCUCUGGUGGAGACCGAUGCACUGGUAGAUCUCUCUAUCGCAUCUAAAAAUUGUUUGCCAGUGAACAACGAGUGCCCAGAACUGAUACCGGACGUUGAGUUUGUUCCAAACCUGAGCAACGAACAACCUCUAACCAUUGAUUCCCCUGGAAUUGACCGGGAGAGCCAGCCUCUCCUUGGUCGGUUGGAGCUAGACGUUACUUUCAAUCGUUUCCCUGACGAUCCGCAAUUCUCUGAAUUAGCGUGGCAAGCCGAAUGCGCGAUAGAUAAUGGAAUUUAUCCUGAAAGAAUAUAUCAAGGAUCGAGCGGAAGUUACUUUGUAAAAAAUCCCACAGGGAAAGUAAUAGGUGUAUUUAAACCAAAAGAUGAAGAACCAUAUGGAAGGUUGAACCCAAAGUGGACAAAAUGGAUGCACAAGCUUUGUUGUCCUUGUUGCUUUGGGAGAAGUUGUUUGAUACCAAAUCAAGGAUACCUCAGCGAGGCUGGUGCAAGUUUAGUUGACCGCAAGCUAGGUCUCGGCAUAGUUCCAAAUACUAGAGUAGUAAAACUUGUCAGUAAAACAUUUAACUAUCCACGCUUAGACCGUCAAAAAGCUCGCAUGAAACAAGCCAUUAUGGAUCAGUUCCCGACAGUGGGUUCCCACUUCAAUCGUAUCAGUUUACCACCAAAAAUUGGUUCUUUCCAAGUGUUUGUAGACGGCUACAAAGACGCUGAUUAUUGGUUAAGACGAUGGGAGAACGAGUCCUUGUCGCCGCGUCUUAGUAGGGAAUUUCAACUUCAAUUCGAGCGCUUAGUGAUUUUGGAUUAUAUAAUUAGAAAUACGGACAGAGGUAAUGACAAUUGGCUAAUUAAAUACGAUAACACCGUGGGGAAAAACGAAUCGGAUCAGGGCGAGGUAAAGAUCGCCGCAAUAGAUAAUGGUUUGGCAUUUCCUUUUAAACAUCCCGACUCUUGGCGAGCCUAUCCAUAUCAUUGGGCAUGGUUGAGUCAAGCGAAGCAACCAUUUAGCGAAAUAACACGAGAGCUUGUAUUGCCGCAACUCUCGGAUCAAAAUUUUGUACAAGACCUUUGCGACGACUUGUAUCAAUUAUUUAAACAAGAUAAAGGUUUCGAUCGUCACCACUUUGAUAAACAAAUGAGCGUUAUGCGUGGUCAGAUUUUAAACUUGCAGCAAGCUUUAAAGGACGCCAAGAGCCCCGUGCAAUUGGUUCAGAUGCCUGCUGUGAUCGUUGAAAAGGCCAAAGGAAACGGAGCACCAAGACUAUUCUCAUUUUCUGAUACGUUUACACAGCGCUUCCAGAAUAAAAGUCCUUUUUUCUCUUGGUGCUGAACAAGUGUUUUUUCGUAUGUUUGAAACGACGUCAAUCCUGCGUGCCGACUGAAAAAAACUAUUCAGAGUAUCGCAAAACAUCAACUUAUUAGUUUUUCUUCGUCUUUCUUAUUUUUAUUUCACAUUACUAUCUCUUUUUGAACACAAGUUCUUGAUCUAUUCUCCGUAGAUUUAUCCGACGAAUUAUGUUUAAUUUAUCAUAUAUCUAAAAAAAAUGUUUCCUUUUAAUUUGAAUAUAGUAUAUUGUAUACAGUAAAUAUAUAUAACGUUAAACAAAAUUUUUUUUUCGAUAUGCUUCGUGUGAAAGAAGAAAGUAAGAAAAGUGAUUAACGAAUAUAUGCAACGUUUUAUGUCUACGCAUAAACAAUACCCCCCCUUAACGAAGCGCGAGUAUAUAUUCAUAUUAUGUCUGGAAGAAACAUGAGAAACAUAAAAAUGAACUGUAAUCUGAUACUUAAAGGCCAUAUUCUUAUUGUUUAAAAUAAACAUUCUACGGAAUCAUAUUAUAUUUUUAACCACGACUGAUGAGAAAAUAAAUUUUCUAUUAGCGGCUAAGACGUAAAAUUUAUAUUAUGGUCGUCAAAGAUUUCGAUUUACGAAAUUAAAUCUUUUCUGAUUUUACAACGCGUAAUAACACGAUAUUUGAAUGUACAAUCGAUCGUCCGUGUAAUCGAUUUUAUCGUGACCUGUACUUUGUUUUCGUUUAAAUAACAUUGACUUAAAACUAACUUCGAAGAUAUGUUAUCGUUAAAUUACACGUUUCAUUCGAGUCGCAAAAUGUAACACAAAAGUUGACAGUUGCAAGUAGCAAUCAUCGUCGUUUUGUAUCGUUGUAUUUUAUAUUGUGAAACAUUUUGUAUUUAGACUCAUCGACGGGAAGCGCGUAUUUAUACUAUUUAAUUAGAAAAAAAAAAAAAAAAAAUAGUAAAAUGGAAGUGGUGGAGAUUAACACGAACAAGAGGCAGUUGUCACGUUAUAAACCGUUAGAAUGCCCAUGUAACGUUAGAGUAACGAUCUAUUCUUAUUUACAUUACGAUCUUUUUAUUCGAUUAUAUUAUUUAUAUUUGUACUGUACAUAUAGUGUACGAAGAGAUACGUGCAACCAUUACGAGUAAAAUCAUUCGCACCGGAGAGAACGUAUUGUCCGCCGUCGAAGGUUCUCGAGGCUAAUACAACGUACCACUUGUCGU
RNA transcript from Colletes gigas, 2944 nucleotides. It is a transcript of the gene named phosphatidylinositol 4-kinase type 2-alpha, with no coding region annotated. The record is from RefSeq and is a predicted model, not a curated record. Lineage: Eukaryota; Metazoa; Arthropoda; Insecta; Hymenoptera; Colletidae. The transcript is spliced from 7 exons.